This 811-nucleotide long non-coding RNA is filed under the name Ursus maritimus (polar bear). RNAcentral's name for it is "lncRNA (ENSUMAG00000012053.1)". Lineage: Eukaryota; Metazoa; Chordata; Mammalia; Carnivora; Ursidae. The record is from RNAcentral.
CUUUUGAGGGGUGUCAAAGCAAAACACGUUUAAAGGCUGUGGCUCCAACACGAAGAGGAGGUGUCUCUGAUGGAAGAGUGGCAGGCAGUGGGGAACUGACGAUGCGCAGGCAACUUUCCAGAAACACAGCUAGCCCAACUCGCCGAUCGUGUAAACUGGAUUGAGAAACGCUCUCAGUGAUGCUGUAAUUGAUUUUUUUUUAUGCCGAAGUAAUGUAUACUCUAGCAUUCUGGUGUUUUUAUAUUUAUGUAAUAAUUUCUUAAAACCAUUCAAGACAGAACUAUUUAAUUUUUUGGAAGAAAGUUGGAAAGGUCUCUCCUCCCCAGGACCGUGGCUGGGAAGAGUUAGGGGCCCCGCCCGUUCCGAACGCUGCUGGCUGAGGGCGCAGUGGUUCAGCUUCCAGAAGCACCCCUCCCCACCCCACCCCGGGCUGGCAGCGUGCACAGGCAGCUCGCACCUAUAGGCUCUUCCCGAGGGGGCCUCAGAACCCAGCCCCUCUCCCUUCUGAACAGGGAGAACUUCACCCAGAGGGAUGGAGCCAGGACCCCCUUCCUCACUCCCCUCCCUGCUGCUGUUGCAACGUGGCCGGCCAUUCCGGACUCUCGGGUGGGGGGAACAGAACGUGGAGGAUGCUGACGACCUUCACUUCUCGGCCAGCCUGACCUUCGAAUACCUUUGUAAAAAGCAUCUCCAAGAACUAUGCCUGUGAAUACUCCCAAGGAGAAAGAGACCACUUGCCUGAAACGUCACUGACCCCAGGCACCAGUGUCUGCCGAAUAAAUGAAUCGGCGCCUGUAUCUCGCUGGCUUCA